This 162-nucleotide small RNA is filed under the name Evansella cellulosilytica. Its description in RNAcentral is "Bacillus cellulosilyticus Magnesium sequence". It matches the Rfam family "M-box riboswitch aptamer (ykoK leader)". Rfam says of the family: M-box riboswitch, also know as ykoK leader is described as a metaloregulatory RNA that sense divalent metals and function as a genetic control element of genes related to divalent metal transport in bacteria. It was first reported upstream of the B.subtilis ykoK gene and genes with related functions in other bacteria. Phylogenetic analysis of the distribution of M-box RNAs across bacterial genomes revealed that M-box riboswitches are most often employed for the regulation of Mg2+ transporter genes Lineage: Bacteria; Bacillati; Bacillota; Bacilli; Caryophanales; Bacillaceae. The record is from RNAcentral. RNAcentral also lists the same sequence under 1 other name.
UAAACACUUCGUUAGGUGAGGCUCCUGUGUGGAGAUAUGCUGCUGCCCAGAAAUGUCGAGAGACGCCAAUGGGUCAACAAUAACUAUCGAUGAAGGUAGUUUUUAAUGUAGCUGGAUUUAUCCUAUGCCACACAGUGCUAAAGCUCAACGGGGAAGAUGUAU